Mobula hypostoma (lesser devil ray) is the source of this 755-nucleotide long non-coding RNA. RefSeq lists it as uncharacterized. The transcript has 4 exons. Lineage: Eukaryota; Metazoa; Chordata; Chondrichthyes; Myliobatiformes; Myliobatidae. The record is from RefSeq and is a predicted model, not a curated record.
UUUGACAUAUUGUACUCCUCUGCACGCCACUGUUGUAAUGCACUGUUAUCUGAGUUACUGUCAGCUUGAACCAGUCUGGCCCUUCUCCUCUGACCUCUCUCAUUAACAAGCCGUUUUCACCCGCAGAGCUGCUACUUACUGGGUACUCUCUUUGUUUUUGCAGCAUUCUCUGUCAGCUCGAGAGACCGCCGUGCACGACAAUCUCAAGUGAUCAGCAAUUUCUGAGGUUCUCAAACCACCCCGUCAGACACCAAUUUCACGGUCAAAGUCACUUAGACCACCUUUCUGAUGUUUGGUCUGAACCUCAUGACCAUGUCUGCAUGCUCUUAAGCAUUGAGUUGCUGUCACGAUGGAUGAUUCGCUAUUUGCAUUAAUGAGGAGGUGUAUAGGUGUACCUAAUAAAGUGGCCACUGAGGGUAGUUUAUUAUUGCAGCUGGCUAGUCACUUUGGUGAUUACAAUAUUUAUUGCACGUUUGCAAAUUGUAAAAGCGCUUGGCUAAAUUGGUCUCUGAGAUAUGCAUCGCUGAUCUGAAUGAGAGACCAACUACUGGGGAGAUAUAAAUUGUUCAUCGGUGAAGAAUGCAGAAUAAUCACUUGGCAACUGUGCAAGCUUUUGUGAGAUAUAAAGUUUUCACGUCCUUGCCAACGAGCUAAAUGCUGUGCGUCCGCUAGUGAUCCAAUGAGAUACGACUCCCGAUUAACAGUAGGUUGCUAAAGACAGAGACAGAUCUAUUCUGCAGGACACUAGAACAAGG